Molecule: long non-coding RNA, 996 nt
Organism: Hemibagrus wyckioides
Lineage: Eukaryota; Metazoa; Chordata; Actinopteri; Siluriformes; Bagridae
Exons: 4
Source: RefSeq, a predicted model, not a curated record
UUGUCGCAAUGUUCUGCAGUUGUUUUUCCUCAGUGAUGAAACCUGACUCGGAUGGAAGAUUUCUAAAGAGUAUUUUAUUUCUUACUUACACACCAUGUCCAAGGUGCUGUGAUGGUUACAGCAAAGUUACUAUUACCACCUCAAACGCUGAUUUUUCCUAUAUUGUAUAUUAAUAACGAACGAUACAUCAUAGUUUUUAUCCGGUUACAGUUACGCUUAGUGCUGUAGAAGUCUCAUAUUAGAAAAUGUUUCCCUUUUGGUAAAAAUUUAGCAUACAUUACAGUAGUGAGUGGAAGCUGAAGUGUGUAAACAUUAUUAUAAUCCACAGUCUAGUGUUCCUUCCAUCCUCCACCCUCCUCCUCCUGAUUUAACACUGACCGCGUAUUGACCCCAUGCCAAAAAGUCUCCGAUAUUUAAAGAUCCACAUGCAAGCAUUGUGUGUUCACGGGUCAUUACACUAAGCUUGCUCUUAUUACUAAACCUUAUGUACUUUUUAAGCAGAUCGGAUUCCCGGAAACCAGGAAGAGCGAUGAGGAUUAAAGUGCGGUGAUGACAGCUUCUGGCACUAUGCAAACUCUACAGAUUAACACCUCAGUGUGAAAGAAAAACACACGGGAAUUUGCUUUACAUGAGUGAGGUAAAAAAUCCUGGAUUCAUGUCUAUCUCUCUGGAGAAAGUGGAGGACAAGCAACAUGUACAUGCAGGAAAAUAAUCCACAGCAAGAUGGUGUGAUAUGGCCUGACACAAAGAUGACACCUGAUGGGAGUUGAAUUGUUCAGGAAGAAAAGAAAACGUGAGCCACUUGGAGAAGAACAAUAGAGGAUGGUGAGAGGUGCAGAUGGGUUCAUUAUGUUACAGAAUGACACGAUGGCUUAAUGAUGACAAUGAGUGCUGCUUCAGAGCCUGGGCAAGGACACACACACACACACACACACAUAGAGACACUACAUGAGGCUGACUAUCUACAAGACACAUCAAAAUAAAAUACUAAACACU